UUGUUUUUUUGGGCCGUUUGAUCGUCUUCACUAUCACUUCAUCUCACCCAUUUCUGUUUUUCAAACUCCACACUUUUCCUUUCGCUAUUUGCAACCACAUCCAUUUUUUUAACCUUCUUACACACGCCGGUCGUUCUAGAACCUUCCUGAACUUUGUCUCUCUUAUCCUUCAUGGACCACCACCAACCACCACCACUACCACCACCGCAUCCUUGCCAUGCCUGAGCUCCGUUCCCGACAACGCACAACGAACAAUAACAAAGAACUGUUAGGCGCUGCUGAUCCGAACCCGAUUGUUCUGCCGGACCCGCUGGUGGCCGGAGGAGCCAAACCGAGGAAGAGAACAGCUGUCGCUGCACCGAACAGGAGGAAUCGGAGGCAGAAAAACGCGAUCGCCGCUGAAGCCUCGGCCGAUGAAGUCGGAAAAGUUGUGAACGACGUUGCAAUCAAGAAGAACAAGAACAACGCCGGUAGUAUUAGGGUUUUGAGGGAGGAGGACAUGGAUGAUUACGAUAGCGGCGGUCGAAGCGCCGACAAGGCUCCGGGAGCUGAAGAGGAAGGAACCACUGCUCCAGUCCCAGAGAAGGUCCAGGUUGGUGGUUCACCGAUGUACAGGGUUGAAGGAAGACUUGGGAAGGGAGGGUUUGGACAGGUUUAUGUUGGUCGUCGCCUUGGAGCCACUAGCUACGGUGAUCGAACUGGUGCUGGGGCUAUUGAGGUAGCGUUGAAAUUUGAACACAGAAGCAGUAAGGGUUGUAAUUAUGGACCCCCAUAUGAGUGGCAGGUUUACAAUGCAUUAGGUGGCAGUCAUGGUGUUCCCCGAGUUCAUUACAAAGGGCGGCAAGGUGAUUACUAUGUUAUGGUUAUGGAUAUGCUUGGCCCUAGUCUAUGGGAUGUCUGGAAUAACAACUCACACACGAUGUCAACUGAAAUGGUGGCAUGCAUUGCGAUUGAGGCUAUCUCUAUAUUGGAGAAGAUACAUUCGAGAGGGUAUGUUCAUGGUGAUGUAAAGCCUGAGAACUUUUUGCUUGGCCCACCGGGAACGUCAAAUGCAAAGAAGCUGUUUUUAGUUGAUCUUGGAUUAGCAACUCGAUGGCGUGAUAGUUCUACCGGACUUCAUGUUGAGUAUGAUCAGCGUCCAGAUGUAUUUAGGGGUACAGUUCGUUAUGCUAGUGUGCAUGCUCAUCUUGGUAGAACUGGUAGCAGGAGAGAUGACUUAGAAUCUCUUGCUUACACACUUGUGUUCCUUCUUCGUGGUCGGCUUCCUUGGCAAGGAUUUCAGGGAGAAAACAAAGGAUUUCUUGUUUGCAAGAAGAAGAUGGCCACUUCUCCAGAAACUUUAUGUUGCUUUUGUCCUCAACCUUUCCGGCAGUUUGCUGAAUAUGUGGUGAAUUUGAAGUUUGAUGAAGAGCCAAAUUAUGCUAAAUACAUAUCCCUUUUUGAUGGAAUUGUUGGUCCAAAUCCAGCCAUCAGGCCAAUAAACACUGAGGGUGCACAAAAGCUUAUAUGUCAGGUUGGACAAAAACGAGGACGAGUGGCAAUGGAAGAGGAUGAUGAUGAACAACCAAAGAAGAAGGUCAGAAUGGGAAUGCCUGCAACACAGUGGAUUAGUGUUUACAAUGCUCGCCGACCAAUGAAGCAAAGGUACCAUUACAAUGUUGCUGAUGUGCGACUUGCCCAACACAUUGAUAAGGGAAAUGAGGAUGGGUUAUAUAUCAGUUGUGUAGCUUCUUGUUCUAAUCUCUGGGCACUCAUUAUGGAUGCUGGCACUGGUUUCAUUUCUCAAGUUUACGAACUAUCUCCCUAUUUUCUUCACAAGGAAUGGAUUAUGGAACAGUGGGAGAAAAAUUAUUACAUCAGUGCUGUAGCUGGAGCUAAUAAUGGAAGUUCUUUGGUUGUAAUGUCUAAAGGGACCCAUUACUUGCAACAAUCCUAUAAAGUCAGUGAUUCAUUUCCAUUUAAGUGGAUCAACAAAAAGUGGAGAGAAGGAUUUUAUGUCACUGCUAUGGCUACUGCUGGCAGUAAAUGGGCAAUUGUAAUGUCCCGUGGUGCUGGAUUUUCAGAUCAGGUUGUGGAGCUUGAUUUCCUGUAUCCUAGUGAAGGGAUUCACCAUAGGUGGGAUGGUGGUUACCGAAUCACCUCAACUGCUGCAACAUGGGACCAAGCUGCUUUUAUUCUUAGUGUCCCAAGAAGAAAACCAUCUGAUGAAACUCAAGAGACGCUACGCACAUCUGCUUUUCCCAGUACUCAUGUCAAGGAAAAAUGGGCAAAGAACCUGUACAUUGCGGCUGUUUGUUAUGGAAGAACAGUUUCAUGAAGUGCUGAAGAUUUGUUUGAGAUUCCAGCUGGUAUCAUUUUGACAUCUUGUUCUUAUGUCUGCCACUUGGAAGUGAAGAUCAUCUCACAAAUUUUGCUGAACAGUGAAGUUUGGCAUGGAUUAUCCAAAGUUGGCAUUGGCUUCCUCUGGUCAGUCAUUGUGUGACUGUGCUUCUGCUUGAUUCUUUGUGCAUCAAACAUUGAAAGAUGCAAAUUGUAUCUGAAUAUGAGAAGUCGGCUAAUUGGAAGCUCAUCUUUGGUGAAUAACUUGUUUGUACCACUUGAUUGAUUUGUGUAUGAAUGAGAUUUCUUGGCGAUUGUAAGCAGUUUGCUGUUAAUCUAAGGUUUUCUGGAUGGUUCAAUAACCUGAGGCUGGUGAAACUUGUGGAUUUAUAAUUGUCCGUAGAAAAUGAAUAUGUUGCUGGAAAAAAUCCUUAAAUGGAAACUUGAAGUGCUCAAGGGUGUGAAGAUUCAGGAACUAUUUACUGCAUGUGAUUCUUUACCUUUGGAAAGACAAGGUUAAAGUGCAUCGUAUGCAUGAUCUUUGAAACCAUUGUUCCAUUGAAGUAUUUAUACUGGAGAGAUCUGGGGAAUCCAGUUACGCUGCCUUAGCUGGUAUUUGAAAGUUCAUAUUGCAAAUUCCAUAUUUGGUUUUCUAUUUGCACAGUUUGAAACCAUGGUUUGAACACGAAAUUAUUCUAGAUUUCAACCAAACUAUCAUCUGAGUUACGAGGGAGUCAAAAUAUUUACCUUCUAUGAUUUCUAUACUGAUGUAUUGGACUCUGGAAUAACCAACUCCGUGGUGAGCUAUAUUUGAGGAAAUGCAACAAAUUUGUAAUAUUCUAAACCGGCUCAACAUAUUCUUUAGUCUCUGGUAUAGAAGGACGCAACUGCUAUCAUCCCUUUUCAAAAUUCAACUUUUCCAAAUUUUCCUAAAAAAUUUGUGCAGUACAAAAUAACCCAGUGCAAAAUAUAGAAUCUAAAUCAAGUAACUUUAGCACUUACCCCUCAGACAUUAUGGAACACUGAAAUUGUUAAAAUUAGAUUAACUGCAAUAAUACUGCAAUAGGUUCAGGCGUAAUCUAACGAGGCAAGUCCAUACUAUAUAUUAUAAUUCCCAGGCUGGCACCAAAUUUAUACAGGCAUUAUUAUAACAGGUAACAAAUGAAGGAAAAGAAUCCAUACAAGUUUCAUAUUUCCUUCACUGCUUCGAUACUUAGUCACUUUCAGUCUUUAUUUAAGUGAAUAUCAUCCAAAUGUC
Arachis stenosperma is the source of this 3577-nucleotide RNA transcript. It is a transcript of the gene named casein kinase 1-like protein HD16, with no coding region annotated. The record is from RefSeq and is a predicted model, not a curated record. The transcript is spliced from 19 exons. NCBI's taxonomy places the organism in Eukaryota, Viridiplantae, Streptophyta, Magnoliopsida, Fabales, Fabaceae.